UUCUCCUUCCUCUGCCUCACUCUGCACAGCCACCGGCCUCCUUGCUUUUUCUCAAACACACUUGCCUGUUUCAGCCUCAGGCUUUCUGAAUUCACAGUUUCCACUGACUGGAACUCUUUCCUCAGAUAUCCCCCUGGCCAAAUUCCUCAUUUUCUGAGGUGUCUUAUUAAAUAACUCUUCCCUUACCUCAUUUUCUAAAGUAGCACUCUUCAUUUUUUCUCUUUUACCAUUUUUUAACUUUUUACAUCUCUUACUAUCACCCUUGAGGGUAAGAACUCUUUUUGUUUGAUGGUGUAUCUAUUGCCUGGAAUAGCUACUGGCAAAUUUUAGGCAUUCAAUAAAUAGUUGAUGGAUAUGUGAAUAAAUAAAGGACUCUUUCAAUU
RNAcentral lists this long non-coding RNA (383 nucleotides) under Homo sapiens (human). Its description in RNAcentral is "non-protein coding lnc-ERI2-1:1". The record is from RNAcentral. Lineage: Eukaryota; Metazoa; Chordata; Mammalia; Primates; Hominidae.